Zonotrichia leucophrys gambelii is the source of this 1340-nucleotide long non-coding RNA. RefSeq lists it as uncharacterized. Lineage: Eukaryota; Metazoa; Chordata; Aves; Passeriformes; Passerellidae. The record is from RefSeq and is a predicted model, not a curated record. The transcript is spliced from 3 exons.
GGGAAAACACUUGGGAAUGCUUGUGUGGCACACGGGAAGGCGGCCGCGCUUUGCCCGCAAAAGAUAAACGCAAAGUGCAACGAAACGUGUUAAAUGCCACUAGCCUUGCCUGAAGGCAUCAAGAUGUUUCUUGGAGGAUUCCCCCCUCUCCGUGCGAGGCAACAGGAGGCGGAUUUGGGGUUUCUCUCCUCGUAUUUUCUCUUUUCUCCCUGUAUUCAGGGAGCAGGCUCUGCCGCGCCGGAGCCCCAGAGGAGCAGUGGGUGACCAGCCUGAAGCCUACAGACCUUGAACUGCCUGCAGCACAUUGGGACUGUGGAAGAAAGUCUUUGGAUGAGGCACAGAGUCACAUUCUGGUAUAUGAAUUGUUUCUGUACCUACAAAGCCAGCCCACACCAUCAGAUGUGCUCUGCAACAUCCUGUCCUCAAUCUCUGCACAUGGAAAUAGCAGGAAAAUGGAUUCAGAGAAUCAUUAGGGUCAAAAACACCUCUAAGAUCACUGAGCCCAGCUAUUCACCCAGCACUGCCAAGCCCACACCAUGAAACCACAUCCCCAAAUGCCACAUCUACAUAUCUGAAAUCCCUCCAGGGAUGGUGACUCCACCACUGCCCUGGGCAGCCUGUUUCACUGCUUGACAUCCCUUCAGCAACAAAACUAUUCCAAAAAUCCAAUCUAAACCUCUCCUGGCACAGCUUGAGGCCAUUUCCACUUGUCCCAUCACCUGGGAGAAGAGACCAACUCCCACCUGGCUGCAGCCUCCCUGCAGGGAGUUGCAGAGAACAGCAAAGCCCCCCUGAGUCUCCUGCUCUCCUGACUGAACAACCAGCAGUCACAGCCUGGGGCUUCUGUGCUAUCCGUUAGAAAAAGGCAAAAUGCUAAUUGUGGGUCAGGUGUUUAAAGCCAAAAUUACUUGGGGUUUUUGGCUUUUCCACAACAUAUUUCAUUGGUUUCUGAGGAGAGCUCCAAACUGAAAACUAACAGCAUCUCCAGCUGGGUGUGUAUUCUGUAGUCAAUCUAACCUCAAUUUGGAAUUGCCCUUCCUUGAAAAAAGUCUUAGGAACAAUUAAACAAAAAUACACAAAAUUAAGUGAAGAGCUUUUACCAAAAUUCCUUUGGCCAACAGCACUUUUUCUGUUGAGUGAAUGUCGAGCACAGCAGAAGAUGCUGAGAGACUCCUGCCUGUGGUCUCAGGAGCAGUAAGAGUCAACAUCUUCAGAGGCAGGAAUCACUCCUGUGAGUGAAGAGAGGCUGCUUGUACCCCUCUCUGUACCUCUGCCUUUCAGCCUGUUGUCGCCCUGAUUUUUUAAGUUUUUCUCAGUCUUCUGAUGUUUACAUUCUUGUU